AGAGUUUGAUCAUGGCUCAGAUUGAACGCUGGCGGCAGGCCUAACACAUGCAAGUCGAACGGUAACAGGAAACAGCUUGCUGUUUCGCUGACGAGUGGCGGACGGGUGAGUAAUGUCUGGGAAACUGCCUGAUGGAGGGGGAUAACUACUGGAAACGGUAGCUAAUACCGCAUAACGUCGCAAGACCAAAGAGGGGGACCUUCGGGCCUCUUGCCAUCAGAUGUGCCCAGAUGGGAUUAGCUAGUAGGUGGGGUAACGGCUCACCUAGGCGACGAUCCCUAGCUGGUCUGAGAGGAUGACCAGCCACACUGGAACUGAGACACGGUCCAGACUCCUACGGGAGGCAGCAGUGGGGAAUAUUGCACAAUGGGCGCAAGCCUGAUGCAGCCAUGCCGCGUGUAUGAAGAAGGCCUUCGGGUUGUAAAGUACUUUCAGCGGGGAGGAAGGGAGUAAAGUUAAUACCUUUGCUCAUUGACGUUACCCGCAGAAGAAGCACCGGCUAACUCCGUGCCAGCAGCCGCGGUAAUACGGAGGGUGCAAGCGUUAAUCGGAAUUACUGGGCGUAAAGCGCACGCAGGCGGUUUGUUAAGUCAGAUGUGAAAUCCCCGGGCUCAACCUGGGAACUGCAUCUGAUACUGGCAAGCUUGAGUCUCGUAGAGGGGGGUAGAAUUCCAGGUGUAGCGGUGAAAUGCGUAGAGAUCUGGAGGAAUACCGGUGGCGAAGGCGGCCCCCUGGACGAAGACUGACGCUCAGGUGCGAAAGCGUGGGGAGCAAACAGGAUUAGAUACCCUGGUAGUCCACGCCGUAAACGAUGUCGACUUGGAGGUUGUGCCCUUGAGGCGUGGCUUCCGGAGCUAACGCGUUAAGUCGACCGCCUGGGGAGUACGGCCGCAAGGUUAAAACUCAAAUGAAUUGACGGGGGCCCGCACAAGCGGUGGAGCAUGUGGUUUAAUUCGAUGCAACGCGAAGAACCUUACCUGGUCUUGACAUCCACGGAAGUUUUCAGAGAUGAGAAUGUGCCUUCGGGAACCGUGAGACAGGUGCUGCAUGGCUGUCGUCAGCUCGUGUUGUGAAAUGUUGGGUUAAGUCCCGCAACGAGCGCAACCCUUAUCCUUUGUUGCCAGCGGUCCGGCCGGGAACUCAAAGGAGACUGCCAGUGAUAAACGGGAGGAAGGUGGGGAUGACGUCAAGUCAUCAUGGCCCUUACGACCAGGGCUACACACGUGCUACAAUGGCGCAUACAAAGAGAAGCGACCUCGCGAGAGCAAGCGGACCUCAUAAAGUGCGUCGUAGUCCGGAUUGGAGUCUGCAACUCGACUCCAUGAAGUCGGAAUCGCUAGUAAUCGUGGAUCAGAAUGCCACGGUGAAUACGUUCCCGGGCCUUGUACACACCGCCCGUCACACCAUGGGAGUGGGUUGCAAAAGAAGUAGGUAGCUUAACCUUCGGGAGGGCGCUUACCACUUCGUGAUUCAUGACUGGGGUGAAGUCGUAACAAGGUAACCGUAGGGGAACCUGCGGUUG
RNAcentral lists this ribosomal RNA (1522 nucleotides) under metagenome. Its description in RNAcentral is "bacterial SSU rRNA". It matches the Rfam family "Bacterial small subunit ribosomal RNA". The record is from RNAcentral.